AAACCAACCGGGAUUGCCUUAGUAACGGCGAGUGAAGCGGCAAAAGCUCAAAUUUGAAAUCUGGUACCUUCGGUGCCCGAGUUGUAAUUUGGAGAGGGCAACUUUGGGGCCGUUCCUUGUCUAUGUUCCUUGGAACAGGACGUCAUAGAGGGUGAGAAUCCCGUGUGGCGAGGAGUGCGGUUCUUUGUAAAGUGCCUUCGAAGAGUCGAGUUGUUUGGGAAUGCAGCUCUAAGUGGGUGGUAAAUUCCAUCUAAAGCUAAAUAUUGGCGAGAGACCGAUAGCGAACAAGUACAGUGAUGGAAGAUGAAAAGAACUUUGAAAAGAGAGUGAAAAAGUACGUGAAAUUGUUGAAAGGGAAGGGCAUUUGAUCAGACAUGGUGUUUUGUGCCCUCUGCUCCUUGUGGGUAGGGGAAUCUCGCAUUUCACUGGGCCAGCAUCAGUUUUGGUGGCAGGAUAAAUCCAUAGGAAUGUAGCUUGCCUCGGUAAGUAUUAUAGCCUGUGGGAAUACUGCCAGCUGGGACUGAGGACUGCGACGUAAGUCAAGGAUGCUGGCAUAAUGGUUAUAUGCCGC
This 571-nucleotide ribosomal RNA is filed under the name Saccharomyces cerevisiae (brewer's yeast). RNAcentral's name for it is "partial large subunit ribosomal RNA". It matches the Rfam family "Eukaryotic large subunit ribosomal RNA", at positions 62 to 648 of the family's 3401-position model. Lineage: Eukaryota; Fungi; Ascomycota; Saccharomycetes; Saccharomycetales; Saccharomycetaceae. The record is from RNAcentral.